GACGAACGCUGGCGGCGUGCUUAACACAUGCAAGUCGAGCGGUAAGGCCCUUUCGGGGGUACACGAGCGGCGAACGGGUGAGUAACACGUGGGUGACCUGCCCUUAGCUCUGGGAUAAGCCUGGGAAACUGGGUCUAAUACCGGAUAUGACUCCAUAACGCAUGUUGUGGGGUGGAAAGCCUUGUGCGGCUAGGGAUGGGCCCGCGGCCUAUCAGCUUGUUGGUGGGGUGAUGGCCUACCAAGGCGACGACGGGUAGCGGCCCCU
This 265-nucleotide ribosomal RNA is filed under the name uncultured bacterium. RNAcentral's name for it is "partial 16S ribosomal RNA". It matches the Rfam family "Bacterial small subunit ribosomal RNA", at positions 28 to 294 of the family's 1533-position model. The record is from RNAcentral.